This 546-nucleotide ribosomal RNA is filed under the name uncultured archaeon. RNAcentral's name for it is "bacterial SSU rRNA". It matches the Rfam family "Archaeal small subunit ribosomal RNA", at positions 338 to 881 of the family's 1478-position model. The record is from RNAcentral.
GGCGCGAAACCUUUACAAUGCGGGAAAGUGUGAUAGGGUGAUCUGGAGUGGGAAGAGCACAAGUCGUAUCUGCAACCGGGUAAAGAUCACCCGAUAACAAAGGAGAGGCCAGGCCGGUUGCCGCCGCCGCGGUAAAACCCACGUCUUGAAUGGUUCCCGAUAAUAAUGGGUCUAAAGGGUCCGUAGCCGGGUUUGCAAAUCUCCUGGGAAAUUCUGAGGGUUAACCGUUCAGCGUGCAAAGGAUACUGCCUUUCUUGGGAGCGGGAGAGGUUUGAGGUACUCCCGGGGUAGGGGUGAAAUCCGAUAAUCCUCGGGGGACCACCAGUGGCGAAGGCGUCAAUCCAGAACAGGUCCGACGGUGAGGGACGAAAGCUAGGGGAGCGAACGGGAUCAGAUACCCCGGUAGUCCUAGCCUGUAAACGAUGCACGCUAGGGUCUGGCACGGUUGUGAAUCAGUAUGUAGUGCCGUAGGGAAACUGUUAAGCACGCCGCCUGGGAAGUACGCUCGCAAGAGUGAAACUUAAAGGAAUUGGCGGGGGAGCACAA